This 31-nucleotide non-coding RNA is filed under the name Mus musculus (house mouse). The record is from RNAcentral. Lineage: Eukaryota; Metazoa; Chordata; Mammalia; Rodentia; Muridae.
UACAUUUUGAGACAGAGUCUGGGACUCAACC